RNAcentral lists this ribosomal RNA (913 nucleotides) under uncultured Gammaproteobacteria bacterium. RNAcentral's name for it is "bacterial SSU rRNA". It matches the Rfam family "Bacterial small subunit ribosomal RNA", at positions 8 to 916 of the family's 1533-position model. The record is from RNAcentral. Lineage: Bacteria; Pseudomonadati; Pseudomonadota; Gammaproteobacteria.
AGAGUUUGAUUCUGGCUCAGAUUGAACGCUGGCGGCAGGCCUAACACAUGCAAGUCGAGCGGUAGAGAGAAGCUUGCUUCUCUUGAGAGCGGCGGACGGGUGAGUAAUGCCUAGGAAUCUGCCUGGUAGUGGGGGAUAACGUUCGGAAACGGACGCUAAUACCGCAUACGUCCUACGGGAGAAAGCAGGGGACCUUCGGGCCUUGCGCUAUCAGAUGAGCCUAGGUCGGAUUAGCUAGUUGGUGGGGUAAUGGCUCACCAAGGCGACGAUCCGUAACUGGUCUGAGAGGAUGAUCAGUCACACUGGAACUGAGACACGGUCCAGACUCCUACGGGAGGCAGCAGUGGGGAAUAUUGGACAAUGGGCGAAAGCCUGAUCCAGCCAUGCCGCGUGUGUGAAGAAGGUCUUCGGAUUGUAAAGCACUUUAAGUUGGGAGGAAGGGCAGUAAAUUAAUACUUUGCUGUUUUGACGUUACCGACAGAAUAAGCACCGGCUAACUCUGUGCCAGCAGCCGCGGUAAUACAGAGGGUGCAAGCGUUAAUCGGAAUUACUGGGCGUAAAGCGCGCGUAGGUGGUUCGUUAAGUUGGAUGUGAAAUCCCCGGGCUCAACCUGGGAACUGCAUUCAAAACUGACGAGCUAGAGUAUGGUAGAGGGUGGUGGAAUUUCCUGUGUAGCGGUGAAAUGCGUAGAUAUAGGAAGGAACACCAGUGGCGAAGGCGACCACCUGGACUGAUACUGACACUGAGGUGCGAAAGCGUGGGGAGCAAACAGGAUUAGAUACCCUGGUAGUCCACGCCGUAAACGAUGUCAACUAGCCGUUGGGAGCCUUGAGCUCUUAGUGGCGCAGCUAACGCAUUAAGUUGACCGCCUGGGGAGUACGGCCGCAAGGUUAAAACUCAAAUGAAUUGACGG